Long non-coding RNA from Salvelinus sp. IW2-2015, 1180 nucleotides. RefSeq lists it as uncharacterized. The record is from RefSeq and is a predicted model, not a curated record. NCBI's taxonomy places the organism in Eukaryota, Metazoa, Chordata, Actinopteri, Salmoniformes, Salmonidae.
GAAUGGUGUCGUCUGCACCUCCAGAAAUGAGCCCAAUAAGAUAUUGGUAAAAAUUACAUUAAAAGGAUUUUAACAUAUUGGACCAUAUAACCUGCAUAGAUGGUCUAUUAUCAGAUGUUAAAUGAUUUUAACAUAUUGUACCAUAUAACCUGUAUUGAUGGUGUAUUAUCAGAUGUUAAAUGAUUUUUAAAUAUUUUAUUUGCUAUCUUUCUUACCAUUAUCUGUGUAUUUGCAUUUCAAUGUGAUUUCAACCAUCAUUUUUUCUGUGGGAUUGUCAUGUUUAUUCAACUUUAGUUUUAGAAGUGGGGGGCAUCAUUUUUUCAUUAUUAUUAUUAUUUAAAAAAUGGUUGGAUAACCACUCAAAACAGCCUACCCAACCACUCGGAGGAAUCCACAUGGCCCUAAAGCACACUGUUGCCUCGUUUUGUAUCACAUUCCAAUGAUAAAACUGGGGGGGGACAAAAAUGCAAUUUCAGAAUGUGGGGGGACAUGUCCCCAGUGAAAGUUGCACACCUGGAUAACUGUAUCACUGGCUGUCUCAUGGAGAGUGUGAGGGUGGGUGUUAUGGUCGGGAUGGCCUGAACUCAGAGUCUGAUUGAAUAACAAGGGAAACCACAGAUACUGCAGUAAAACAUGGUGGAACAAAGGCAGCUGGCAGUAACUUCACUUACUGCUGUUUCCUUGGUUUUUACUUAGAUUUUGUAGUUACAGCAAAUUUGAAACUCCAUGUUCUCUGAAACAGAAGGUAAUAGAACCCGGACACUUUGUCACAAGAUAUAACAGAAGAUAAUUGAACCAGGACACUUUGUCACAAGGUAUAACAGAAGCUAAUAGAACCGGACACUUUGUCACAAGAUAUACAGAAGCUAAUAGAACCAGGACACUUUGUCACAAGAUAUAACAGCAGAUAAUUGAACCAGGAUACUUUGUCACAAGAUAUAACAGAAGGUAAUUGAACCAGGACACUUUGUCACAAGAUAUAACAGAAGGUAAUUGAACCAGGACACUUUGUCACAAGAUAUAACAGAAGUUAAUAGAACCAGGACACUUUGUCACAAGAUAUAACAGAAGCUAAUAGAACCGGACACUUUGUCACAAGAUAUAACAGCAGAUAAUUGAACCAGGAUACUUUGUCACAAGAUAUAACAGAAGGUAAUUGAACCAGGACACUUUGUCACAA